This 252-nucleotide ribosomal RNA is filed under the name uncultured bacterium. RNAcentral describes it as "partial 16S ribosomal RNA". It matches the Rfam family "Bacterial small subunit ribosomal RNA", at positions 524 to 776 of the family's 1533-position model. The record is from RNAcentral.
UACGGAGGAUGCGAGCGUUAUCCGGAUUUAUUGGGUUUAAAGGGUGCGCAGGCGGCACGGCAAGCCGGCGGUCAAAUCGCGGGGCUCAACCCCGCCCAGCCGUCGGAACUGCCGGGCUAGAGUGGGCGAGAAGUGCGCGGAAUGCGUGGUGUAGCGGUGAAAUGCAUAGGUAUCACGCAGAACUCCGAUUGCGAAGGCAGCGCACCGGCGCCCUACUGACGCUCAGGCACGAAAGCGUGGGUAUUGAACAGG